Long non-coding RNA from Dermacentor andersoni, 1103 nucleotides. RefSeq lists it as uncharacterized. Lineage: Eukaryota; Metazoa; Arthropoda; Arachnida; Ixodida; Ixodidae. The record is from RefSeq and is a predicted model, not a curated record.
CCGAGAGCCAGCUUUUGAGAAUACAGAUUGAGCUCGACAGAUUAAACGCCAGAACAAGUCGUUGAGGAUUUCAGAUCAAGAAUCUUCGAAGGCCAGUUCAUUUAGUGGUGUUAAUAUUCUGCUCAAAGUUGUUGAUUGUUACGUUCAUAUGGUGCCCAAGCAUUGCGGUAACAACUUCACUUGGAGUACAUAGCAAGGGUGUAUUCGACGUAAGCUUCUGGCUUUCUUCUGUGUUUUCAAAAACUGGUUUCUUGUUCAGUUUAAAUUUUCAAAUUUUGCAUUGUUUAUUAGGUGUUGUGUCCUGUUUCCUUUUCCUGCAGCUUCUUAGUUAAACAUCUGAAUAGUGAACACAACUUGACCUUUUGCUUGAUUUUCUAGAUUACACGCCCUCGAUGGAAAACAAUUUCACUUCAAACAGCUUGUACCGUACUGAAAGAAUAACUUGAAGCAGCCAUAGCCACCAAUAACACGCAAGAGAUGAUUAUGAAAAUUGUAAUAUUGUUUUUUGAUCUACAGGGUGUCUUAACUAUCGUGCACCAAGAUUUAGAAAUAUGUAAAUGCGAUGUAACUAGACAAAAUGAAGGUAAUGUUGUUUGCCAUCGCUUGGAGAUACUCUGAUUAUUUUUUGCAUUCUGCCUCAUUACAUAAUUCUUAAUUAGUUAAUAAAUAUCUCAAAUAAUUAAAUGAAAUGUGUCAAUGAAAAGUUGUAGAGCAAUAUGAAAGCGUCCUGAUACACUUUUUUGUUACUGUUACUCACUGUGUGCUACAUAAAAGUUUUUUUUCAAGGAAUAAGCCUGCGAAUACACAAAGUGUCUUGAGUGGCCAGUCAUGUGUCAGUUUUGUGGUGCAAAGCCACGAAUACAACUUAAAUGGGUUCCUUUAAGAAAAAGACUUGGCUCAGAAAAUUAUCCUUCUUUAUGCAGCCUGUGGAGACAAGGUUUCUUAGACUUGGCCAUGGACCUCAAGGAAGAUGCCGAGGCCACAGGCAGUUCCUCCACAGCAAGUUUAUCCUUGCAAGCGUUUUGGGUCAAGAACAACUUUCACCAGGAAGAAGUGCAAGACGAGUGAUUGAAAAAAAUAAAGUUGCUUCUGUUAUCUAAGAA